GUGGGGAAUCUUAGACAAUGGGCGCAAGCCUGAUCUAGCCAUGCCGCGUGAGUGAUGAAGGACCUAGGGUUGUAAAGCUCUUUCAGCUGGGAAGAUAAUGACGGUACCAGCAGAAGAAGCCCCGGCUAACUCCGUGCCAGCAGCCGCGGUAAUACGGAGGGGGCUAGCGUUGUUCGGAAUUACUGGGCGUAAAGCGCGCGUAGGCGGACUGAAAAGUUGGGGGUGAAAUCCCGGGGCUCAACCUCGGAACUGCCUUCAAAACUAUCAGUCUGGAGUUCGAGAGAGGUGAGUGGAAUUCCGAGUGUAGAGGUGAAAUUCGUAGAUAUUCGGAGGAACACCAGUGGCGAAGGCGGCUCACUGGCUCGAUACUGACGCUGAGGUGCGAAAGCGUGGGGAGCAAACAGGAUUAGAUACCCGUGUAGUCC
RNAcentral lists this ribosomal RNA (425 nucleotides) under uncultured bacterium. RNAcentral describes it as "partial 16S ribosomal RNA". It matches the Rfam family "Bacterial small subunit ribosomal RNA", at positions 354 to 796 of the family's 1533-position model. The record is from RNAcentral.